GGGGGGAUUCCAGAGUGGCCAAAUGGAUCAGACUGUAAAUCUGCUGUCUUCGGACUUCGGAGGUUCGAAUCCUCCUCCCCCCA
This 83-nucleotide transfer RNA is filed under the name Hymenobacter busanensis. RNAcentral's name for it is "Hymenobacter sp. M3 tRNA-Tyr". It matches the Rfam family "tRNA". Rfam says of the family: Transfer RNA (tRNA) molecules are approximately 80 nucleotides in length. The record is from RNAcentral. Lineage: Bacteria; Pseudomonadati; Bacteroidota; Cytophagia; Cytophagales; Hymenobacteraceae.